Molecule: ribosomal RNA, 156 nt
Filed under: uncultured bacterium
Lineage: Bacteria
Description: partial 16S ribosomal RNA
Rfam family: Bacterial small subunit ribosomal RNA
Source: RNAcentral
UAUUUUCUACGGGAGCAGCAGGUACUCUUACGGGAGGCAGCAGUGGGGAAUUUUCCGCAAUGGGCGAAAGCCUGACGGAGCAAUGCCGCGGAAGGUAGAAGGCCUACGGGUCAGACUUCUUUACCGAGAAGAACAAGCCGUUCCGGACUUACUCCU